CCUACGGGAGGCAGCAGUGGGGAAUAUUGCACAAUGGGCGAAAGCCUGAUGCAGCGACGCCGCGUGAGGGAUGACGGCCUUCGGGUUGUAAACCUCUUUCAGCAGGGAAGAAGCGAAAGUGACGGUACCUGCAGAAGAAGCGCCGGCUAACUACGUGCCAGCAGCCGCGGUAAUACGUAGGGCGCAAGCGUUGUCCGGAAUUAUUGGGCGUAAAGAGCUCGUAGGCGGCUUGUUGCGUCGGUUGUGAAAGCCCGGGGCUUAACCCCGGGUCUGCAGUCGAUACGGGCAGGCUAGAGUGUGGUAGGGGAGAUCGGAAUUCCUGGUGUAGCGGUGAAAUGCGCAGAUAUCAGGAGGAACACCGGUGGCGAAGGCGGAUCUCUGGGCCAUUACUGACGCUGAGGAGCGAAAGCGUGGGGAGCGAACAGGAUUAGAUACCCUGGUAGUCCACGCCGUAAACGUUGGGAACUAGGUGUUGGCGACAUUCCACGUCGUCGGUGCCGCAGCUAACGCAUUAAGUUCCCCGCCUGGGGAGUACGGCCGCAAGGCUAAAACUUAAGGAAUUGACGG
Molecule: ribosomal RNA, 567 nt
Filed under: uncultured bacterium
Lineage: Bacteria
Description: bacterial SSU rRNA
Rfam family: Bacterial small subunit ribosomal RNA
Source: RNAcentral